ACGAAAAAGGGAGAGGGGCAGCGCUAUAAGAAAAGAAAAGAGUGAAGAGAGAGAGAGGGAAGGAGAGCUGUUUGCCUAAACCCUGUUGGCUUUCCCAGUGUGCGUAUCCCAGUGUUGUUCAGUGAACUGUGCGGUGGACAGUGCCACUGUGUCUGUGUGUAGCUCUGGUUGUAUUGAACUCCGCUCCCUGCUGACCAUUGGAGAGUGAAGAGAGGCAGGAGUGGGAGGAGGAACCGAGUGCUGGACGCCCUGUCUGUGGGUUUGCCCGGCGAAGGCAAUUUUCCAUGAUAGGUUUUGCAACCAUGCUGGAAAACACAGGUGGGGCAAGAGCGGAUGCUAAAGUGAAUAAUCAGUCAGAAACUACUAAAUGUGCAAUGGAAAGUGGUGACGGGAACACCGGAAUCCAAAUCAAUGGGUUUGACUUUCAGAGGCAGAUGGUGCCAACCACCAGUACAAUCACUAAUGCACAUGCACAAGCCCUCCUCCAACAGGCUGCAGCACAUUUAAAUACCCAAUUUCUCACUUCCUUUUUAAUUCAAAUCCCUCUCUCUGCUCAAAGACUAAAGGCUCAUUCUCAAAAUUCUGCUCAGUCUAAGUCGGAAGACUCGAGUGCUCUUCCGACCUCCGUCCAGCAGAGCGUAUUGCCUCAAACCCAGCUAAUGUUGGCCGGGGGACAGAUUGCAGGAUUGACCCUGACCCCAGCGCAGCAGCAGAUGUUGAUCCAGCAGGCCCAAGCUCAACUCCUGGCUGCAGCCGUGCAGCAUUCAGCUAACCAGCAGAACAACACCACUGGGGCCAGCAUCUCGGCCUCCGCAGCCACACCCAUUACCCAGCUGCCCCUGUCACAGCCCAUCCAGAUCGCUUCUCAGCUACAGCAGCAGAAUUUAAGUCUGCCUCAGUUUGUUCUGGUGCAGCCUGGCCACCCGAUCGCCACACAACUGCAGCCCGCUCAGUUCAUCAUCUCACAGACACCGCAUGGCCAACAGGGCAUAUUGCAAGCCCAGAGUCUUCUAACUCAACUACCUCAAAGCCAAGCUAACCUCCUGCCGACUCAACCAUGCAUCACCCUUGCAACUCAGCCUGCCACUCCAACCCGCACAACAGCAGCCACACCUAUUCAGUCCCUGUCCCACAGUCAGACACCACCCAAACGGUUGGAUACCCCCACUAUGGAGGAGCCUAGCGAUCUGGAGGAACUGGAACAAUUUGCCAAGACCUUCAAACAGAGGCGUAUCAAACUGGGCUUCACGCAGGGCGAUGUUGGCCUGGCCAUGGGGAAGCUGUAUGGAAACGACUUCAGCCAAACUACCAUCUCUCGCUUUGAGGCCUUGAAUCUGAGCUUUAAGAACAUGUGCAAACUCAAGCCAUUGCUGGAGAAGUGGCUCAACGAUGCAGUUUGUGCAGAGAACCUGACAUCUGACCAGGCCCUGUCCAGCCCCAGUGCCCUGUGCUCCCCAGGCAUGGGCAUAGAGGGGAUCAACCGCAGACGGAAGAAGAGGACCAGUAUUGAGACCAACAUCCGAGUGGCCUUAGAAAAAAGCUUUCUGGAGCAGAACCAAAAACCUACCUCUGAAGAGAUCACCAUGAUCGCUGACCAGCUCAACAUGGAGAAGGAGGUGAUUCGGGUCUGGUUCUGCAAUCGCCGACAGAAAGAGAAGAGGAUUAACCCCCCCAGCAGCUGCAACAGUGGAGGAGGCGGCACCCCCAUCAAAACCAUCUUUACCCCCAGUAGCCCUUUGGUGGCCAGCACAGCAAGCCUUGUGAGCAGUCCAACUAUUAACACACCCACCACUCUGACUGUAAACCCAGUGAUGCCUCUCACCAGCACCAGUGUCUCCGGUUUGUCUUUCACAGGCACGACAGUUGGAGGCACAAACACUGCGUCCGUCAUAUCCACUGCACCUAUGAUUACUAUGGCCUGCUCUCCAUCUUUGAGCCCGUCGCCAACGACUAUUCACUCUUCGACAGAAAGCAAGGCGCAAACCAUCGUCACCCAGGCACCGACAUCCAUCGCCACCACUUUAGGGACGGGUCAGCUGAUGGUGACGCCGUCAGGGCUGUCUGCGGCGCUGCAGGGGGCCCAGUUACCCAGCGGCUUUGCUGCUAUGGCUGCUGCUGCUGCUGGGCUCAACCCAGGACUGAUGUCCUCCCAGUUUGCUCCGGGGGGGGCCCUGCUCAGUCUGACUUCUGGUGGCCUUGGUAGUCCUGCCUUCAUGAGCAACAACACCUUGGCUACCAUCCAAGGUGUGUAUCAAUCUCUGGCAUCGGGCGGCACGAUCCCCAUCACUUCUCUGGAUGGCGGCAACCUGCUGUUCGCUAACACUUCUGCUGGUAACACGCCCAACCUGGUGACCACACCGCUCUUCCUGAACCCCCAGAACCUGUCGCUGCUCACCAGUAACCCCGUCAGCUUGGUGUCGGCCGGGGCGGGGGGGCUGCAGGUCACUGCUGAUGCUCAUCAUCAAACAACCAAGGCUACUGUGCCUGUGCAAGCUUCGACCAUUACCACUGCCUCCAAGGCUCAAUGAAGCCAGUCAGGCUGCAUCCUGAAUUAACGCCCUAUUUCUUAUGUCGUGCACUACUCCUUUCACACCAUGUAAGGAAUAGGGAGGUCGUUUGAUAUAGGCUCUGCGCUUCACUAACCACCCCACAUUCUUUCUAUUGUAUCUAUUAUUAUUUAAUCCUUUUGCUGCCACCAAAAAGAAAACAACCUCAAAUGAGGUUGAGGUUGACUUUUUAUUUUUUAGUGUUUCCUGUUUUUUCCUUUAUGAUUCUUGGAUGUUUAUUUUCCCACAAACAGUAGCCCGAUGGACACUGCUGUUGGCCUGCCGCUCCUCAUGAACCUUGAAAAGCGUCCAGGAAGAAAAAUAUCCUCGGCACCAUCAAGAUAUUCACAUUUUGUAGAUGUGUGUAUAUAUAUAUAUAUAUAUAUAUAUAUAUAUAUAUAUAUAUAUAUAUAUCUCCUCCUAUUUCCAGGUCAGAAUUUUCUGAAAAAACUGCUAAACUACUUCUAACCAAAAACUUUAAGAUUUUGCUCUUUUAACAUUCAAACUAAACUGAUUUACUACUAAUUUCACAAUAUUCAUUAUCACUAAUGGGGAUUUGUGUGUCACCCCAUCUUUAAUUAUCUCUUUUGGGUUUUUUUGGACAGGCCUUGGCGUAAAUCAUAUCAAAGUUAAAUUGUAGAGACUUUUCUUCUUUACCUUUGCUGUCUAUUUUUGUUGUUGUUGACAUUUUCAGAACUUUGUAAGUCUAAUAUUAAGUUAAGAUUCAACUAUCAACUUUUAAUCGUGGUUAUAAGGCUUUAAAAACAAGUAAUAAGUGGUCGAUAUAAAGGUUAUCAUUGCUUUAAGGGUCAGAGGGACAAGAUGCGUCUCUCUGAGUCUCUCUUUCUGGAAACACUGAGUUUUACAUUUUGCUGCGGGGGCAGACUAGCCCCCAAGCUUUUGUAAAAUGACGUUCUCGCUGCGGAUUCUAGACACUGAUAGAAAAUGACUGAAACAUUGUGUUGAGAGCUUUAUAAAGAGUCAUGCAGUCCCGUGUCUGAUAAAGAGUGAUUUGUUUUGGAUGGUGGUCCAUUGGAAAAGUGUACAUUAUGCUUGGGUUCAGAGUUAGAAACUAGAGGUCUGCAUGUGUUGUCUACAGCUCAGGCAGAUGCUGAGAGUUCAGUAACUGCAUGAUCCACAAGGCUCAGUGGCUGACUGGUCUGUUUGGGGAAGACUAGUCAGGGGGCAUGGUGAUCAUACCAAAUGUAUGGCGGCAUUGGCUAGAUGGGGUUAUUGUAUUGUGUUUUUGUUUUAUUUCUUUUAAUAGUAGUACCGUCGUAUCUACUUGUGCACAGUAUCUGUACCAAAAAAAACUGGAUUGAUGAGCUGCAGUCUGCCUGUUUUGGGAGGAAUGAAAUUCUGUCUUUUUUUUGUGUCUGCAGUCAUUCGACUGGCUUACGUACUUUAAGAUAUACCAAAAAUAUUUGUUAAAAUAAUUGCUGUGUGUAGCCGGUGUAGCUUAGUCUAGUCAAUAUAUUUAUGAGUACAGAAUCUCUUGUCAUUGUCAACAGAAUAUAGAAAUGCAAUAUUUUGAUGAUCAUUUUCCAAAGAUGACCUCUUUUUUUUUUAUUUGACAAAAGUGUCUCAUCGCUCAACUUUUUAAUUGGCAGCACAACUGACCAAAAAGAGAGGGAUCGGUGGGUUGGGGCAUGAGAAAGUAGUUUCCUUUUACUCUUUUUUUUUUAAAUUGGUUUUUAUUGCCGGGGCCUUUUCCCUAACGACUGAUCCAUGUGAUCUUUCAGCCAUUUGAUGGCUUUGUUUUCCUUUUCAUCUGUUUUGAACAUUUUGGUAGCAGUUUUGGACUUUUCUGAAGCAACAUGGAAAGGUUCUGUUUUUGGUUUUGUACUAAUGAUCAGCCAUAAAACAACAGCUUGAACCAAAGUGGUUUUCCUCAGUAGUUUCUGUGCCUGUUCGAGCACUCAAGUUGCCAUUCUGACGAUCUUUACUCUCCACACUGCUGACAAAUUAUGUUCCUCUUCUCCCACCUCGGUCAAUACCCGAUAUUCCUGAUUUGGUGCUGCUGGAUAAGGAUCACAGAAACCUAGCUUUAACAACUUGCUGCUGAAACUCUUGGUGGUGUUGAGCUGUUGAGAGCCCUGCAUGCUUUCCUAUAGCUUUAUGACUACACUCUGUGAAAGUCAGGUUUUGUGGUUUCGACCCUCCCGUCUGAAGGGCUCACUUAUGUAAAUGCAUAGAUCGGAUCAUCAGAUAACAUACACCUCCUAUCAGCACCGCCAUUUUUGAACCAGCACGCUAUGAAACAGUAUGCUGCUUCCUAAAAAGUCUGUGGACUAGUUUCAAAACCUGCCAAAGUAUCUUACUCAACACAGUGUUGGGCUAAGUACUGUGCUACACAUUCAACUAAACCCCACGUAAAAAAGUAGAAUUGUUCUGCUGCUUAAAAAUAACAAAUUUAAAAUACCACGGUGAUGUUUAGAUCACUGAGGCUGUUAGCAGUGAAAUCUGUCCAUGUUAUCCUCUUGUGUACUUCUUUUCUGUUUGAAUUAUUUUGACUGAAUAUACCUCAGCAGCACUUAAACAUAAGGUUCACCUUUAGGCAUUUCUGUGUAUAGAACAGUGUAGAAUGUAUAAGAACUGUCUGGCUUGCCAUUCAAAUUUUAUACUGAUGAACCAUACAUAGGAACCAUACAUAAAAGGACAACCUACUACUGCUAUUUUCUAGUACUACUAUUUAUGGGGUAUUUCCAGGUUUAAAUAUUAUUUUGAGAUCCUUCUUGCCAAAGUAAAAGCCUUUCUCUUUGCAGCUAGGCGGGUGUCUGUCUGCUCACGUUUGCUGGUUUCCCCGUCUUUAAGGCCACAACGGGCCUAUCGGACUCAGUCCUGUUCCAGUGCUAUUUGUAGUUACUAAAGAGUUGAACAUGUGCUAGCAAGAUGAACCAGUUGCCAUUGGCACCAUAGGAUGUUACUGAAAUAUUUAUCUGAGGAAAGACUUAAGAAUUAGAGAAACGAUCUUUUCUUAAUUCUAUACAUAUAAAUAUAUAUAUAAACACGUGUAAGAUAUUCAUAUUUUAUAUUUGAACCAGUAUGUUAUCAAGAUUGAAUGUAGUGUUUAUCAUGCUUACUUGGAAAAAAAAGAAAAAUCUCCCCUAAAUCUUCCUUUUUAUUAUUGCAAAAAAGCAAAUUUUCUUUGAGAACUGACAAGACCAAAAAAUAAGAGAAGAAAUCUGAGACCACGCCUCGGUGGUGCGUAAGUUGCUGACACCUGCGUCUGUCGUGUAUCUGCGAGGUCUUUUCAACAGGAAGUUUUUGUUUAGGCGCUCCUGACUCUGAAGUAUCUGAUCUUAGUCUUUGAAUACAUUGUUAUUGUUUUAUUUUGGUUGAGUCAUUGUGGACUUGAUUUGUUGUGCUGUCUUUAACAAUCAUUUUUUUUUUUAUAUAUACUUUAUGCCUUUAAUUGUUUUGUAUAGUGUGAGAGGGCAAGAUCACUGGCUUUCUUAGUUUGACAAAGAAGAUUAACAUUAUCAUUUAUGCCUUAUUGUUACGUAGAAGACAUGAGCAUUGUAGCAUUGUUGUGCGUGUGAGAGAGCUUGAGCGUUGAGCUCACCUGGUGCAUUGUUUUCACUGAAACAAAAUGGUGUACUUUGGGCAUUUUGGAGCGUGGGAUGAUUAUGUUGCUACCUGUUUUUUAGGUGCGACUCAGACAGGUUGAGGAUACCUGUGAGAAAAGCUUUACUAAUAAUUCCAGCAGGUGGAUGUGUGCGUGUUUGUGUCUUAUAAAGAGAGAAUAGGGAGGGCAGUCUGCAAACCAUUAUGGUGCAUUUUUUUCCAUCUUCUGGCAGGUGUUUGAGAGUGAGUUUUAAAAGAAAUGGUGAGACAUGAGAGUACUAAUUUUUGUUUUUGUCCAGAGGGGGGUCUCUGCUGAUUAGCUGAAGCCUUAAAGCGAGCCCGUUUAUGGUUUAUAAAGGAAAAAACUACCGUUUUUUGUGGUCAUAGUUUGACUAUUUCAUCUCUACUAAUUAUCUUAAUAUACUUUCAACUGACAGUCUUUUUGCGACUGGCUUUGCUUUAAUGCUUUAGUUUCAUUAUGUGAUCCCCUAGAUUUCAAGAUGCUCUUGUGGAUCAGCCAAGCAUCGAGUUGUAGUUUGUCGAUCCACCACACUGGUUUGCCGGUUGUUAACGUUGACAAAGGAAGUGUAGAGCACCAGCUAAGGCAAAAGGAGCUGUUGUAUACCUCAUUUCUAACUCAAGACUGAGUGAAACCUGCUUUAAUCUACUUACAAAAUAAAAAAAAUAAAAAUGUUUAAAAAAAAAAAAAUCACAAAAAAAAAAGAAGAUGAAAAUACACAAACUUGUGUCAGUGGAGAAGCCCGUUCAUACCUGUACUUAGUGAAGGGUUGUAGUAAAAGCCACCACAAGGGGGGGUACAGAAUACAUACCAGUUCUCAUGAAUGUCUGCUGUUUUUUUUUCUUUAACAAUUUGGUGUUUUUAUGCUGCACACUGAUGUAUUUUUCAGCAUCGGAUAGAAAUGAUCUGUUGUAACUUGAGAUUUAAAUUUAUUUUAGUGUAUUGUAUUCCAUUACUGUCUGUUAUACGAAUAGACGACCCCUCCAUGUUUGAACACUUUUAAGUUUGACAAUCCUGUUUUUUUUUUGAGUUUUGUUUUCACACUGACCGAGCACAGGUAUGUACAUGUCUUACCACAUGACGGUGUGCUGUUGCAGCCCGCUCUCGCUUUCCUGUGGUACCAACAUUAACCAAAGACUUCUAACUUGAUUGUAUAUGAACGACACCCCUCUCUCGGCCCAUCCCUGCCUCACUGCUCAGCAUCAAAUCCCGGCUGCACGCCCUCACCCAAGUCCUCAAUUCAUCUGAGUUUGCUUUUUAUUGCAUGUGAAUGUAUCCCGCCCCGGAAACACUCCGGCGUCCUGUCAGUGCGGCGGUUACAGUGCCUGUGGGCGGGGAUCGGAGGGGGGGGAGGGGGGUUGAACAGGGGCUGAGCGGGCUUCUCCGACAGACACGAACGAAUCUGGUGGUAGCUGGGUGAUGUUUGUUAAUACACACUGAGGGUAAAUCCUGUGCACACUGUACAUGCUCAGGACUCUGUAUGUUUUGUCUGUCUUGAGCGCUGUAGGAUGUUUCCCCUCCACUAUUUCUCUCUCCCUCUCUCUCAAGGACUGUGUUGAAAAAUGCUGAUCCUGCCUCUCACAGUGUCUCUGUAUCUUCCUCAUCACCUGUACACUGUAUAGUCCCAGGACAUUUACCCUGUUGUCUCCAGGAAUACACAUCCUGCGGUUGCUAAAACUCACUGCUGUGUCCCUCCUCCUCCUCUUCCUCCCUUUCCCCCUACUCUGCUCUCUCCUUUGACAUCGUCUCUUCACUACAGACUCUGAUCAGUUGUGACACUAUGCAUCAUGGUCCUUCACUCUGCAUGGACUGUGUCCCUCCGGCUUAGACCUCUGGCCGACGGGCUUCAGUGACACUUUGUUUAAUGCUUUACUCCAUGUGAGGUUGUAGGACCUCACAAGCUCUAUCCCAAAGCAAAAAUCCAAAUAUUUAACUUUUGACAAAUGCAGAUACCAAAGAUAUCUCUCUGUCCUGUGUCUUUCUCUGUGUUUCUCUCCCUUCCACCCUGCAGCAUGUGUAUUAAGAGACAAACCCAGCACUGGCUUUAUUCCUAGCCUCAGUAAUUCCAAAGCUUAGAUGUAUAUUUUGGUAUAUUUCUGAGAAAAACUUUGCGUCUGUUUCUUGUUUGUUUGUUGUAAUCUUUUUUCUGUCACAGCAUGGAACUUAUUGCAGAACUGUCUUACUCUUGGUAGGUUAAAGAUAUAGUAUUUUUGUAUGUUUUUGGGUGUGUUGUGUGUGAUUAUCAGUUCACAGCCCAAGUGACCAUGGCUUUCACCAAGAGGAAAAAUGAGGAAAAAAAGAAGAAAAAAAAGCCAACCAUGUACAUAUUACUUCUGUGUAUCUCAAAACUGCAUUCUUUAAGACAUUUACUACUCGUGUUGGAAAGCUUGGGCUCAUCUAAAGGAAUGUGUCCACGAUGUAUUUCCCUUUUUCUUAUUUUGCAGCCUGAAAAUAAUUGUCUUUCCAGGACUCUAAUGUAAAAAGCCCUGAUUUCCAUCAUGGACAACAACACUGAGGGACACUGCCCCGAUCUGACUACAAGGACAAAAAAAAAAA
Sander lucioperca (pikeperch) is the source of this 8688-nucleotide RNA transcript. It is a transcript of the gene named POU class 2 homeobox 1b, with no coding region annotated. Lineage: Eukaryota; Metazoa; Chordata; Actinopteri; Perciformes; Percidae. The record is from RefSeq and is a predicted model, not a curated record. The transcript has 17 exons.